UUCAGGUUCCAAAAGAUUAAUAAGGAAUCCUGUGGAAAUCAGGAGCUAUGCCCGUAGCUGUAAGUUCUAUGAUAGACCUGCGGCAUCAACGUCACUGACCUUUUGUCGGGAAGACGCUGCUGGUUUGAACGAGCCAGAAGACCUGCCUGUAUCC
Molecule: non-coding RNA, 154 nt
Filed under: bovine gut metagenome
Source: RNAcentral